CAAUUUCCAGUGCGGUGCAUUCUUCAUAAAUUAAAGUUAAAACUAGCAAGCACGAAUCAGAAAUUGCUAGUCUCAACCAAUAGAAUUCUCUUCGUUUCACAUUUUCUCACCUAUAUUACACACUAAAUUAUCAACCAAUUCAGGAAAAAAAUCACGAACACAAACUACAAAAUAGAUAAAUAAAUGAAGGGAUAAAUAACAAAAAUCAGUUACCUUCUCUUUUCUUCUUCGUCUUUUUUGAGCUUCUGAUGGUUCGCAACAACACUGGGACUGCGCGAUUUAGGAGGAGGAGGAGAGGAACAAUGAAGGAGGAGGAGUUAGGGCAGUGAGUGUCUCGUCGCGUUGGGGCUUUUGAUGGAGGAUUUAGGGCAGAGCACGAACAAGA
RNAcentral lists this long non-coding RNA (385 nucleotides) under Arachis ipaensis. RNAcentral's name for it is "long non-coding RNA (AIPA_LNC000144)". Lineage: Eukaryota; Viridiplantae; Streptophyta; Magnoliopsida; Fabales; Fabaceae. The record is from RNAcentral.